This 661-nucleotide ribosomal RNA is filed under the name uncultured fungus. RNAcentral describes it as "eukaryotic LSU rRNA". The stretch from base 246 to 400 matches the Rfam family "5.8S ribosomal RNA". The record is from RNAcentral. Lineage: Eukaryota; Fungi.
AAGUCGUAACAAGGUUUCCGUAGGUGAACCUGCGGAAGGAUCAUUACCGAACUGUCGACACGAGUUGUUGCUGGUCCUCAAACGGGGGCAUGUGCACGCUCUGUUCACACAUCCACUCACACCUGUGCACCCUCUGUAGUUCUGUGGCCUCGGGACUCUGUCCCCUUGCCGUGGUCCUACGUCUUUACACACACACUGUAAUGAAGUCUUAUGGAAUGUAUGUCGCGUCUAACGCAAUACAAUACAACUUUCAGCAACGGAUCUCUUGGCUCUCGCAUCGAUGAAGAACGCAGCGAAAUGCGAUAAGUAAUGUGAAUUGCAGAAUUCAGUGAAUCAUCGAAUCUUUGAACGCACCUUGCGCCCUUUGGCUAUUCUGAAGGGCAUGCCUGUUUGAGUAUCAUGAACAUCUCAACUCUCACGGUUCGCCGUGAUGAGCUUGGACUUUGGGGGUCCUGCUGGCCUGCGGGUUGGCUCCUCUCAAAUUGAUCAGCUUGCCAGUGUUUGGUGGCAUCACGUGUGUGAUAACUAUCUACGCUCGUGGUUCUCCGCCAGGUAACCUUCGGUGACGGAGGUUCGCUGGGGCUCACAAACGUCUCUCCUCAGUGAGGACAGCUUUUUAACGUUUGAUCUCAAAUCAGGUAGGACUACCCGCUGAACUUAA